CUCAUGUUUCUCUCAAAUCCCUCCCAAUCAAGCUCUCUUAAAAGUUUACACAGAAAAUUCUCUCCCCUUCUCUUUCAAGCUGAGCGGAGCAGCUAGGGCUCCGCCGCCGCGGUUGCCGAAGUUCCGGGGAGGAGCGCCGGCCUCGCCCGCUUUAAUUCCUCCGCCUGAAACCCUAGGGCCCAGAUCUAAACUCCACCCUCUUCGACCUAAAAUUCUAACUUCCUUCCAAAUCGUCUGCUCUCCACCCUGUCAAAUUGUCUCUCUCAAACCAGUGAAGAAAACGCAAGAGAAAAUCCUAACUUUCUUCCAAAUCGGAAUCCUCACUGCAGCGGUUGAUGCCGCCGCCGACGAGCAGUUGUUGCUUCCGAUUCUGGCGCCGCAUCUACUUUCUCGGACCCUCUCUCUCGAUUCACCUCUCUCAAUCAAAGAAAUCAACUGAAACAGGAAAGGGAAGGAAGCCCUAAUUUUGCCACCCCUGUCAUCUGCUAUCCCUAGGCGCCGCUACUGCACCGCCUGCCACGUCGCGCCGCCCUUCUUGUCUGCUAACCCUAGCCACGGCGAGCAGCGCCACCUGCUCGUCGCCGCCCCUCUCGUCUGCUUACCCUAGCCACCGCGACCAGCGCCGCCUACUCGUCGCGCCCCUCUCAUUGUUGGACUUGUACAUUUACGAUUAUUUGGUGAGAAAAAACAUGCAUACAACAGCUGGAAUCUUAGUCGAAGAGGCUGAUCUUCAGCCCAAGUCUGUUGUUAUCAAUCCUCCUGAAGGAUUUCUGUCUGAGUGGUGGUCCUUAUUUUGGGAUGUAUACUCUUCUAAACUUCCGAAGAAUCCUCAGGGAGAACAAGCCAGCACAUCAAAGCUACCUAUGAAUGGUGGACCUGUGCUGCAAAAUCCUCGGACCUGUUAUGUUACAUAACUGUUUUGAUAUGCUUAUGAUUAUCUGUUGCAUGUUAUAAUUUGUAUCUCUAUUUGCAAUGAUUUGUUCUGGGGGGAAUUGAAGCACAAAGUUCUUUAUAACCAGGUUUUUCACUUCAGAAGUGAUAAGUGGUAAAUGGUCUUUGAUUCAAGAUGCUAAUAUGUUCUUUGAUGUGUGAUCUGGUCUUGCAGCCGUCGUCAGAAGAAAGUUAGUAGCAAGCGGCAGUGUCCUGUUAUCAAUGAUGUCAACUAUAGUACUGGUUCGAUGAGAUCUAUCCAUUUGGAGCUAACUCCUUAUCCACCAAAGCUGAUACAGGAUGACAUCGGACAUGCAGAUGCUGUUGGUUAGUGAUAGGAGGACUUGCAUGCUUGAUGUCGGAAAUUGGUCAAGCUGUGGGUAUCUUUUUACACUUUAUGUAUUGUUUACUAUACAUGAAGGAGCAGGUUAACUCAUUCAUUCUCUUUUACUAUUUUUUUAAUUAACAGAAAGAAAAGCAGAUAUCUCUCUUUUUUCAUUAUCUAAAAUUAAUAUUCAUUUUCUACUGCAGUUUGUUUGGAUGGAAGUCCACCUUCAUAUGCCUAUCACCAGGGAUUCGAAAGUGGAUCUAAAAGUCGGGUUGUUUUUAUGGAGGUUACUUUUCACAGGAAGGCCAAGCAGGUUACUUUUCACAGGAAGAACUUGCAGGUUACUUAUUAAGUUAAUACUAAUCCAUCUUUCUCUGGUUGCACUGAUUCUAACUUGCACUUUGUCGAGUCACAUGUUCUACCCUUAGAAGCUUGAGAGAGGUUGUUGAGCUGCUGAAACUCAUCAAAGUUGGAGCAUGAAGGUGCUUCUGUGAAGUUUCUUUUUUUUUUUUUUUUUUUUUGAGUUAGGCUCAAAACAUUAUGUAUGAAGGUUUUGGAUGAUAAUGUAUGAAGGUUUUGUGUUAUAUAUAAUAUAUGUUAUUGAUGA
This is an RNA transcript of Salvia miltiorrhiza (redroot sage), 1865 nucleotides long. RefSeq lists it as uncharacterized. The transcript is spliced from 7 exons. NCBI's taxonomy places the organism in Eukaryota, Viridiplantae, Streptophyta, Magnoliopsida, Lamiales, Lamiaceae. The record is from RefSeq and is a predicted model, not a curated record.